UACGAAGGGUGCAAGCGUUACUCGGAAUUACUGGGCGUAAAGCGUGCGUAGGUGGUCUGUUAAGUCUGAUGUGAAAGCCCUGGGCUCAACCUGGGAAUGGCAUUGGAUACUGGCAGGCUAGAGUGCGGUAGAGGAUGGCGGAAUUCCCGGUGUAGCAGUGAAAUGCGUAGAGAUCGGGAGGAACAUCUGUGGCGAAGGCGGCCAUCUGGACCAGCACUGACACUGAGGCACGAAAGCGUGGGGAGCGAACAGG
This 253-nucleotide ribosomal RNA is filed under the name uncultured bacterium. Its description in RNAcentral is "partial 16S ribosomal RNA". It matches the Rfam family "Bacterial small subunit ribosomal RNA", at positions 524 to 776 of the family's 1533-position model. The record is from RNAcentral.